This 496-nucleotide long non-coding RNA is filed under the name Equus asinus (donkey). Its description in RNAcentral is "lncRNA (ENSEASG00005024814.1)". The record is from RNAcentral. Lineage: Eukaryota; Metazoa; Chordata; Mammalia; Perissodactyla; Equidae.
GAACGGGGCUCUUCACCUCCCACUGUGAAGUCUAUUCUCCCAGCUCCCCACCCAGCACCUCCCACUUCCCUGCUCACUAUGGGUCUUUGAUCUGCUCUCCCUGCUUGGCCCACAGCCUCUCUAAAGCCGCAAGGAAUAGGGGCCACCCAGAGUAUGUGUCCAAGUGACCUUUGAUGAUGUGGCUGGGGACUUCCCCCUGGAGGAGUGGACUUCACUGGACCUCACUCAGAGAAACCUAUCUGGAGAUGUGAUGCUGGAGACCUACAAGAACCUGGCCACAGUAGGAAGAUUAGCCCUGAGCUAACUGCUGCCAAUCCUCCUCUUUUUGCUGAGGAAAACUGGCCCCGAGCUAACAUCUGUGCCCAUCUUCCUCUACUUUAUAUGUGGGACGUCUACCACAGCAUGGCUUGCCAAAGGUGCCAUGUCCACACCUGGGAUCUGAACCAGUGAACCCCAGGCCACCGAAGUGGAACGUGUGAACUUAACCACUGCACCA